CAGUAAUUUACAUUAAAAGCAAACUGUCUUUGGUGAAAGUGCCUUUGAAGUUUUUGCACCCUCAUCCUGGUAUAAAUUGCAGAAUCAUCCUAAAUUAGCUACCUACCAAUAAUGACACAG
Molecule: long non-coding RNA, 120 nt
Organism: Etheostoma spectabile (orangethroat darter)
Lineage: Eukaryota; Metazoa; Chordata; Actinopteri; Perciformes; Percidae
Exons: 3
Source: RefSeq, a predicted model, not a curated record